This 447-nucleotide ribosomal RNA is filed under the name uncultured bacterium. RNAcentral describes it as "partial 16S ribosomal RNA". It matches the Rfam family "Bacterial small subunit ribosomal RNA", at positions 329 to 793 of the family's 1533-position model. The record is from RNAcentral.
UCCCAGACUCCUACGGGAGGCAGCAGUGGGGGAUAUUGCACAAUGGGGGAAACCCUGAUGCAGCGACGCCGCGUGGGUGAAGAAGCGCCUCGGCGCGUAAAGCCCUGUCAGCAGGGAAGAAAAUGACGGUACCUGAAGAAGAAGCCCCGGCUAACUACGUGCCAGCAGCCGCGGUAAUACGUAGGGGGCAAGCGUUAUCCGGAUUUACUGGGUGUAAAGGGGGCGCAGACGGCAGCGCAAGCCAGGAGUGAAAGCCCGGGGCCCAACCCCGGGACUGCUCUUGGAACUGCGCGGCUGGAGUGCAGGAGGGGCAGGCGGAAUUCCUGGUGUAGCGGUGAAAUGCGUAGAUAUUAGGAGGAACACCAGUGGCGAAGGCGGCCUGCUGGACGAUGACUGACGUUGAGGCUCGAAAGCGUGGGGAGCAAACAGGAUUAGAUACCCUGGUAC